Molecule: ribosomal RNA, 318 nt
Filed under: Triticum aestivum (bread wheat)
Lineage: Eukaryota; Viridiplantae; Streptophyta; Magnoliopsida; Poales; Poaceae
Description: partial small subunit ribosomal RNA
Source: RNAcentral
AUGUAUGUUCAUGCCUCCCGGGGAGCAUCAGGCGAUGAUGGUGCAGAUAUGCCUGCAGUGGUCAGGGCCGAUGUUUGGGCCCGUGCAAACAUUCCAUCGGUAAAACAAGAAGAUGUUGAUGUGGUUGUGCACAGCGUGGAGCCGAUAGAUCACGUGCAUCUAGAUGGUCUGCUCGGAAACUUGCAGAGUUUUGCAGUUGAGAUGGAGGUAGCAUCCCGUGCACUUGCUUUGAAUGUCAGUGUGGGUUUUGUUCACCAGGUUAUUGACAUCUCUGACGAUGAAAGCAACGAUGAAGUUGGAUAUGGAAGAAUGGUCUGA